AUGGAAAAUAUGGAAUUAUCAGAUGCCAGUGUUUCUUCCUCAGAGCUACCUGAUUCAACAGUUGAUGAAUCCCAAAGCAGGAAACGCUUCAUAAGUUCAAGUUCUGAUGAGGAUGAUGACUGUGAUUUAGCUAAAAGAAAAUGUGAGGAAGACCGGGUGGUUUCCGAAUCAGCUAACAGGCUUUUGGAAACACUUUCAUCAGAACCAGCAAUACCAUCCUCUGAGCAGGGGGUUACAGAAAAUUCAUCAGGGGCAGCUAAAGAAGAAGAAGUGAAGUCACCAUCUAUCGCUGCUAUUUGGAAGCUAUGCUGCGUAGCAUCAAGCCAGCUACAAGAGACCCCUGAAAUGAGUGCUAUUCAACGCCCAGGCCAUGUGAUUAUGUCAAGCAUUCUUGGAUUGGAUGUCAAGACUGAAACAGGGAAUGUAGAGCAGAAGACGGUCAUGUUGGAGACCGCCAAAGCAACCGUUUACGGGAUAUUAGAUCACUGUUUAAACGAAAUAUUAUUUGAGGCGUGUCCGGGUUGUCAGAUUUUUGCAGGGAAUCAGAUGAGUCAUGAAUGUGUGUUAUGGAACAACAAAUUCCUAAGCAAAAAAUUGAAGGAUAUUUGUGGAAAUUUAUGCUUCAUAAAUACCCUUCAUAUUUUACUUUUGAUAGGUUACUGUCAAAACUCUCUGUAUAUGACCUCUGAAAUAUUGGACUACAUUAUGAAUUUGGUAACAUAUAUUGGCCAAACUGAUAAGGCUAUUAAAGUUCUAAAUGCUGGAUUGAAGAGUUGCAACCAGGAGAUUCUGCAGCAAGUCAAAACUGUGCUAAAAAACCGUCCAUACAAACAUUAUGUCAAAUUUUGGCCUAUUAUAACUAAUUUUAAGAAAGAGUAAAACUUGCAGCUAUUGAUGACUGUUUUUAAAAAUUCAAAAAAGUGUGUUACAUUGAAAUAAAAUAUAUGGUACUUUCAAUAAUGGGAUAAAAUAAAAUGGAUUUAAAAACAACAUAAUGCUCAAUGUGUUUUUUAUUUGAGGGCUUCCCUUUAGAAGUACAUUUAAUGAACACUCAUAAGUUUUCUAAUGUAUAUAUAUAUAUCUAACUAAAUAGAAAAGUGAAAAUGCGUGCCUGUUUAUUGAUCCUUCUGACAAAACAGGAAAUGCAUAUUUCAGUGGUCAUGCCAUGGACAGAUGCUGAUGACUUCUGAAAAACAGAGAUAAUAACCAUCUCUGUGCCUGGAUCUUUAAGUGUUACAUUCCUUUAGAAAUACGACCUUAUAACCCAACAUGCCCAAUUUACCAGAAGAUUAUUUUAAAAUGGGUAAAAUAAAAUGGAUUUAAAAACAACAUAAUGCUCAUUGUGUUUUUUAUUUGAGGGGCUUACCUUUAGAAGUACAUUUAAUGAACACUCAUAAGAUUUCUAAUGAUAUAUAUAUAUCUAACUAAAUAGAAAAGUGAAAAUAUGUGCCUGUUUAUUGAUCCUUCUGACAAUCAGGAUAUGCAUAUUUUCAGGGGCGUGGGGCCGGAUGCUUAAGACUUCUGAAAAACAGAGAUAAUAAGCAUCUCUGUGCCUGGAUCUUUAACUGAAUACACAAGGCGAAGUGUGGGCCCCUUUCUUUAACCAUGUAUUAAUAUAUAUAUAUUAAAAUGCAUCAUUGGAAACAUGGUUUAUUUUUACAACCAAAAAUAAAAUAAAUAAUAAAAUAAGGGUCCAACAGAACAACCCAAUGUCUAUAGGGAAGGGAGAGUGUUACAGUCCUUUAGAAAAUACAAGUCCUUAUAGCCCAUCAUGCCCCAUUUAGCAGAUUAUUUUAAAAUGGGGUAAAAUAAAAAUGGAUUUUAAAAAAAACAUAAUGCACAAUGUGCUUUUAUUUGAGGGUUUCCCUUUUGGAAAUACAUUUCAACUACUCUUUAAGGCGUAUAUUGCUAAUUUUCUUCAAUAUACCUUUCCCCAACCCCUUCCCUCAAAAUAAAAAAAAGUAUGAUACCCAUUUAUUUAAUAGAGAUUUAUAUAAAUGUUUCUGUACAACAUGUAUGCCUAACUGCAAAUAUGACCACACCUCAAAAGGAGGGUGUUUGUCUCAUCAGCCAAUGGGAAUUCUCAGUUUAAAAGCGGAUGGAAAGGCGGNNNNNNNNNNNNNNNNNNNNNNNNNNNNNNNNNNNNNNNNNNNNNNNNNNNNNNNNNNNNNNNNNNNNNNNNNNNNNNNNNNNNNNNNNNNNNNNNNNNNUCUAGACCCUUUCACCCUAAGAGGGAUCAGAAUAAUAGUUUUAUGUUUUUUACCUGCUCAGAGGAUGGUAUUGCUGGUUCUGAUGAAAGUGUUUCCAAAAGCCUGUUAGCUGAUUCGGAAACCACCCGGUCUUCCUCACAUUUUCUUUUAGCUAAAUCACAGUCAUCAUCCUCAUCAGAACUUGAACUUAUGAAGCGUUUCCUGCUUUGGGAUUCAUCAACUGUUGAAUCAGGUAGCUCUGAGGAAGAAACACUGGCAUCUGAUAUAUUCCAUAUUUUCCAUUCCUCUGAAAGCAGUCAAGGGAUGCACUAAAACUCACAUGGAGUAUUUAUUCCUAAAAGCUCCGCCCUAAUGGGCCCUCCCAGUAUCACAUGAUGACCUUAUGGGCCUAAAUCCAUUGGCUGUUGGUCACAGAGCACAGAGCUCACCACUAAGACCUAGCACACGGUCCUGGCUGCCCCAUUUCCUCAAGCAGAGGGGUCAGUCUAGGCAAGGGGCCUUUCAGCCCAUACGCAUCACCAUGAAUGCCUCAUUGAAACAUGUCUGUGCUUGCCCCACCACGUGGUAAGCUCCUGCAGUAGGAGUAGGGAACAUGCACCAUAGACAUACCCAUCACAUGGGCGGCUUAUGGUAGGGGUGGGCUGUGGGCUGUGGGAGGGCUUCACCUCAGGGGGAAGGGUCUCCCGGGAUUGCAUUUCCUGUUUUUAGGAGGAGGGAGUUCCUCUUUUAGGAGGUGGCACUUCCUGCUUCAAGGGGCAGGACUUCCUGCUUCAAGGGGGCGUGGCACCUGUCAAAAAUGAGUUUGACGAGAGGUGGCCCCUAUUACUACUGCUGUGUGCCAAUGUGCAGUUUUUGAAAAAUCUAAGUAGGUCAACUGCUGUCUUCUCAGUAUUUAUUUAUUGAUUGAGUUGAUUUGUACAGACUCCAGUGAUCAUAAAAAAGUAUGAUGUAUAUGCAGUGCUGCACAAAAAGAUUGUGACUAGUUUUGACUAUGUAGAGGUAUGUUUCUACUGCACGAUAAAAUGCACAAUAAAAAUAACAACAAAAAUGGAGUGCCAACUGAUUAUCAUGGAAAAUUGUGAAUGAAAUGUUACAAAAAUACAGUAGAGUCUCACUUAUCCAAGCUAAACGGGCCGACAGAAGCUUAGAUAAGCGAAUAUCUUGGAUAAUAAGGAAGGAUUAAGGAGAAGCCUAUUAAACAUCAAAUUAGGUUAUGAUUUUACAAAUUAAUCACCAAAACAUCAUGUUAUACAACAAAUUUGACAGAAAAAGUAGUUCAAUACACAGUAAUGUUAUGUUGUAAUUACAGUAGAGUCUCAUUUAUCCAACACUUGCUUAUCCAACGUUCUGGAUUAUCCAACACAUUUUUGUAGUCAAUGUUUUCAAUACAUUGUGAUAUUUUGGUGCUAAAUUUGUAAAUACAGUAAUUAUUACAUAGCAUUACUGUGUAUUGAACUACUUUUUCUGCCAGAUUUGUUGUAUAACAUGAUGUUUUGGUGCUUAAUUUGUAAAAUCAUAACCUAAUUUGAUGUUUAAUAGGCUUUUCCUUAAUCCCUCCUUAUUAUCCAACAUAUUCGCUUAUCCAACAUUCUGCUGGCCCGUUUAUGUUGGAUAAGUGAGACUCUACUGUACUGUAUUUACGAAUUUAGCACCAAAAUAUCAUGAUAUAUUAAAAACAUUGACUACAAAAAUGGCUUGGAUAAUCCAGAAGCUUGGAUAAGCGAGGCUUGGAUAAGUGAGACUCUACUGUAAUGAAAUUAAAUGAAUAACAAGAAUAUAUCAAGCAAAUAUAUAUAAAAUCAUAAGUGAUACCUGUUUUUCCCCAAACAUCUAAUCUGCUAGAAGUUAGCUGUCAAAAGCAAUAGAAAAAUGCCAAGCCCAAUUGUAUUUAUUGGGGCUUUUUUAGCAAAUGGCUUUGGUCAGCUGUCUACCAGAAAUGUUCCCUACUCUCCCACCCCAACCUUCCAAUGCAUCAGGAGCUUUCACUGGAGGGGCCUAAGCAUAGAGUCAGGCCUUUCGUGUAUAUUUUGGUGGUAAAUGGGGGGCUGGGAUAGAAACAUGGGGUGGCCACCUUGAUCCUUUGAGCUCUUGGAGCCGAAAGAGCCAGGAUCACAGUGGGGAUUGACCUUCGAGAUUGUGAAAGUAGUCCCAGGAGUCAAUUCCCACAGGGCACACAGCUGAAAAGAUUCAAACCUUACAUUAAGAUCCAAAUCUUUCCAGGUGUUUUAUUAAUCCAGAGCAAACUGAAAAAUCCCAGUUCACUCUGCAUUAAUUCAGGUUUACCUGAGGCAUCAUUUGGGAACCUCAAGUAAACCCGUGAUAGAUCCCACAUUUUAGGACUGUCUGGAAGGUCCUAGUUUCAGGCAUGAAUGAUGUUUUUUUGUUCCCUAGGAUGUGAACACCAGUUUUUGAUAGUGGUGGGACAAAUGAAAUAAAAUCAAACACCAGGGCUGUUUCAAAAUGCCCACCCUAAUUUGCCACCUGUUAAUGUGUAAUACAUCUUCAGAGAAUGAACUAAUUUUAGGAAGAAAAAUCCCCGGGUGUCUGAGCCAGGGGCAGAGGUGUCAGGGCUAAUGAUAAGAACAAAUAUGAAGGGUUGCUUUGCCAAGCAUUUGAGUCAGGGGCAAGUAGAGAGCCCAAAGAGCCAG
RNAcentral lists this long non-coding RNA (4858 nucleotides) under Anolis carolinensis (green anole). RNAcentral's name for it is "lncRNA (ENSACAG00000043141.1)". The record is from RNAcentral. Lineage: Eukaryota; Metazoa; Chordata; Lepidosauria; Squamata; Anolidae.